GACAGCAGCCGCCGCGGGAAUACAGAGGGUGCGAGCGUUAAUCGGAUUUACUGGGCGUAAAGCGUGCGUAGGCGGCUUCUUAAGUCGGAUGUGAAAUCCCUGAGCUUAACUUAGGAAUUGCAUUCGAUACUGGGAAGCUAGAGUAUGGGAGAGGAUGGUAGAAUUCCAGGUGUAGCGGUGAAAUGCGUAGAGAUCUGGAGGAAUACCGAUGGCGAAGGCAGCCAUCUGGCCUAAUACUGACGCUGAGGUACGAAAGCAUGGGGAGCAAACAGGAUUAGAUACCCGCGUAGUCCCUGUCUCUUAUAC
RNAcentral lists this ribosomal RNA (306 nucleotides) under uncultured bacterium. RNAcentral describes it as "partial 16S ribosomal RNA". It matches the Rfam family "Bacterial small subunit ribosomal RNA", at positions 507 to 807 of the family's 1533-position model. The record is from RNAcentral.